RNAcentral lists this ribosomal RNA (141 nucleotides) under uncultured bacterium. Its description in RNAcentral is "partial 16S ribosomal RNA". It matches the Rfam family "Bacterial small subunit ribosomal RNA", at positions 355 to 509 of the family's 1533-position model. The record is from RNAcentral.
UGGGGAAUAUUGGGCAAUGGGCGCAAGCCUGACCCAGCAACGCCGCGUGAAGGAAGAAGGCUUUCGGGUUGUAAAACUUCUUUUCUCAGGGACGAAGAAAGUGACGGUACCUGAGGAAUAAGCCACGGCUAACUACGUGCC